Molecule: ribosomal RNA, 738 nt
Filed under: Lophiostoma caulium
Lineage: Eukaryota; Fungi; Ascomycota; Dothideomycetes; Pleosporales; Lophiostomataceae
Description: SSU rRNA
Rfam family: Eukaryotic small subunit ribosomal RNA
Source: RNAcentral
AAACUGCGAAUGGCUCAUUAAAUCAGUUAUCGUUUAUUUGAUAGUACCUUACUACUUGGAUAACCGUGGUAAUUCUAGAGCUAAUACAUGCUGAAAACCCUGACUUCGGAAAGGGUGUAUUUAUUAGAUAAAAAACCAAUGCCCUUUGGGCUCUUUGGUGAUUCAUGAUAACUUAACGGAUCGCAUGGCCUUGCGCCGGCGACGGUUCAUUCAAAUUUCUGCCCUAUCAACUUUCGAUGGUAAGGUAUUGGCUUACCAUGGUUUCAACGGGUAACGGGGAAUUAGGGUUCGAUUCCGGAGAGGGAGCCUGAGAAACGGCUACCACAUCCAAGGAAGGCAGCAGGCGCGCAAAUUACCCAAUCCCGACACGGGGAGGUAGUGACAAUAAAUACUGAUACAGGGCUCUUUUGGGUCUUGUAAUCGGAAUGAGUACAAUUUAAACCUCUUAACGAGGAACAAUUGGAGGGCAAGUCUGGUGCCAGCAGCCGCGGUAAUUCCAGCUCCAAUAGCGUAUAUUAAAGUUGUUGCAGUUAAAAAGCUCGUAGUUGAAUCUUGGGCCUGGCUGGCCGGUCCGCCUCACCGCGUGUACUGGUCUGGCCGGGCCUUUCCUUCUGGAGAACCUCAUGUCCUUCAUGGGUGUGUUGGGGGAACAGGACUUUUACUUUGAAAAAAUAAAGUGUUCAAAGCAGGCCUUUGCUCGAAUACGUUAGCAUGGAAUAUAAGAAUAGGACGUGCGGU